Molecule: transfer RNA, 76 nt
Filed under: Allostigmatella aurantiaca DW4/3-1
Lineage: Bacteria; Pseudomonadati; Myxococcota; Myxococcia; Myxococcales; Archangiaceae
Description: Stigmatella aurantiaca DW4/3-1 tRNA-Ala
Rfam family: tRNA
About the family: Transfer RNA (tRNA) molecules are approximately 80 nucleotides in length. Their secondary structure includes four short double-helical elements and three loops (D, anti-codon, and T loops). Further hydrogen bonds mediate the characteristic L-shaped molecular structure. tRNAs have two regions of fundamental functional importance: the anti-codon, which is responsible for specific mRNA codon recognition, and the 3' end, to which the tRNAs corresponding amino acid is attached (by aminoacyl-tRNA synthetases). tRNAs cope with the degeneracy of the genetic code in two manners: having more than one tRNA (with a specific anti-codon) for a particular amino acid; and 'wobble' base-pairing, i.e. permitting non-standard base-pairing at the 3rd anti-codon position.
Source: RNAcentral
GGGGCUGUAGCUCAGCUGGGAGAGCGCCAGCUUUGCAAGCUGGAUGUCGUCGGUUCGAUCCCGAUCAGCUCCACAU